ACAUCCAGCGAACUUUCCAGAGAUGGAUUGGUGCCUUCGGGAACGCUGAGACAGGUGCUGCAUGGCUGUCGUCAGCUCGUGUUGUGAAAUGUUGGUUAAGUCCGCAAGAGCGCAACCCUUAUCCUUUGUUGCCAGCGAUUCGGUCGGGAACUCAAAGGAGACUGCCGGUGAUAAACCGGAGGAAGGUGGGGAUGACGUCAAGUCAUCAUGGCCCUUACGAGUAGGGCUACACACGUGCUACAAUGGCGCAUACAAAGAGAAGCGACCUCGCGAGAGCAAGCGGACCUCAUAAAGUGCGUCGUAGUCCGGAUCGGAGUCUGCAACUCGACUCCGUGAAGUCGGAAUCGCUAGUAAUCGUGGAUCAGAAUGCCACGGUGAAUACGUUCCCGGGCCUUGUACACACCGCCCGUCACACCAUGGGAGUGGGUUGCAAAAGAAGUAGGCAGCUUAACCUUCGGGAGGGCGCUUACCACUUUGUGAUUCAUGACUGGGGUGAAGUCGUAACAAGGUAAGCGUAGCGAG
RNAcentral lists this ribosomal RNA (522 nucleotides) under uncultured bacterium. Its description in RNAcentral is "bacterial SSU rRNA". It matches the Rfam family "Bacterial small subunit ribosomal RNA", at positions 984 to 1509 of the family's 1533-position model. The record is from RNAcentral.